Molecule: ribosomal RNA, 245 nt
Filed under: uncultured bacterium
Lineage: Bacteria
Description: partial 16S ribosomal RNA
Rfam family: Bacterial small subunit ribosomal RNA
Source: RNAcentral
UACGGAGGAUCCAAGCGUUAUCCGGAUUUAUUGGGUUUAAAGGGUGCGUAGGCGGAAUGGUAAGUCAGUGGUGAAAUCCUUCGGCUUAACUGAAGAAUUGCCGUUGAUACUGCCAAUCUUGAGUACAUUUGAAGUGGGCGGAAUGUGUCAUGUAGCGGUGAAAUGCUUAGAUAUGACACAGAACACCGAUUGCGAAGGCAGCUCACUAAACUGUGACUGACGCUGAGGCACGAAAGCGUGGGGAU